Molecule: unclassified non-coding RNA, 151 nt
Filed under: uncultured fungus
Lineage: Eukaryota; Fungi
Description: sequence contains ITS1
Source: RNAcentral
AUCCGAGUAAUUGGUAAUCUCGUAAUAAUUGCCCCAUUCGGUACCACCAGGCUUCCAUUCCAGCUUACGGACUGUGGACUCGAGGCUUUCGACCAAGCCGGUCAAUGCCUGCUUGCUCAUCGAGCCGCCGCGCGAUUUGACCUCUUCUCCC